UCACAGAGCAAGAUGGAAAAAUAUAGGCCUCAUUAGUCUCAUGCCAACCAGAAUGGGCCUUCAACUUAUGGUGCUGGUUUGAUUGAAUGGACCAUUGCAUGAGUGGAAAAUCUGAACUUGGCUCUGAACUCUGCCUCAGCCAUCGGGUGCCAUGUGGUCAACAUAGGGGCUGAGGACCUGAAGGAGGGGAAGCCUUAUCUGGUCCUGGGACUUCUGUGGCAAGUCAUCAAGAUUGGAUUGUUUGCUGACAUUGAACUCAGCAGAAAUGAAGCUCUGAUUGCUCUUUUGAGAGAAGGUGAGAGCCUGGAGGAUUUGAUGAAACUCUCCCCUGAAGAGCUCUUGCUGAGGUGGGCUAAUUACCACCUGGAAAAUGCAGGCUGCAACAAAAUUGGCAACUUCAGUACUGACAUCAAGCUGACUGACUUCUACAGCAAUAUAAAGGACUCAAAAGCUUAUUACCACCUGCUUGAGCAGGUGGCUCCAAAAGGAGAUGAAGAAGGUGUUCCUGCUGUUGUUAUUGACAUGUCAGGACUGCGG
RNAcentral lists this small RNA (537 nucleotides) under Pan troglodytes (chimpanzee). RNAcentral's name for it is "processed transcript". Lineage: Eukaryota; Metazoa; Chordata; Mammalia; Primates; Hominidae. The record is from RNAcentral.